CUGACGGUACGGGUAUAAGAAGCCCCGGCUAACUACGUGCCAGCAGCCGCGGUAAGACGUAGGGGGCCAGCGUUGCUCGGAAUUACUGGGUGUAAAGGGUUCGUAGCGGUGUGGCAAGUCGGGAGUGAAAUCUCUGGGCUCAACCCAGAGGCUGCUUCCGAAACUGCCGUGCUUGAGCGUGGGAGAGGCGCGUGGAAUUGCAGGUGUAGCGGUGAAAUGCGUAGAUAUCUGCAGGAACACCCGUGGCGAAAGCGGCGCGCUGGACCACAACUGACGCUGAGGAACGAAAGCUAGGGGAGCAAACAGGAUUAGAUACCCUGGUAGUCCUAGCCCUAAACGAUCAGGACUUGGGGUGCUUCACGUUCGUGGAGCGUCCCGGAGCUAACGCGUUAAGUCCUGCACCUGGGGAGUACGGUCGCAAGACUGAAACUCAAAGGAAUUGACGGGGGCCCGCACAAGCGGUGGAACAUGUGGUUCAAUUCGACGCUACGCNAGGAACCUUACCUGGGCUCGAAGCGCACUUGACUAGCUGUGGAAACACGGCCUUCCCGCAAGGGACAAGUGUG
This 566-nucleotide ribosomal RNA is filed under the name uncultured Acidobacteriota bacterium. RNAcentral's name for it is "bacterial SSU rRNA". It matches the Rfam family "Bacterial small subunit ribosomal RNA", at positions 469 to 1034 of the family's 1533-position model. Lineage: Bacteria; Pseudomonadati; Acidobacteriota. The record is from RNAcentral.